CUGGCAUUUAGGGUAGACAAUCACUGGAUUGUCUUCUGCGUUCGGUUUUGACAGCCAGGGUAGGAACUUGUAGCACGCAGCGAGGACAGGGACCAGCCAUUGGAGAUUUGAGCGAAUGUUUCGUCUUGGAUUCUGUUGAAGUGUAUACUUAACUGUUGGAACUGUGCUGGCAAUGACAGCCUUUGACACUCUGCAGAGCAGAAGACCCCAGUGUAGGAAUGGCAGUGCCUACUCUGAAAGUGAGAAGGUAAAAGUUUAUUUUUGUAUUUUCCCCCUUCCUCCUGUGCGCUGUCUCUCUCUCUCUCUCUCCCCCCCGCACACCCCACCCCACCCUGCCUCUCUCUAUAACAUGUAACAAGACCACCAAGAGUGGCCUUUUCGCCUGUACUAUGUACCAUUCUCAUUUAUGUUUUUUUCCCCUUUAAAAAAAAAGUUUGCCUGAGGUCAUCCACCUAGUUUCACCCUCCCCAAACAGGAAACGGGUUUCAGAUGUUUAUAUGUUAAAAAGCAAGACAGCUAAUCUGCCCAUUUAACAGGCAUUGGCAACUGGCAAAGAUUCCCCCCACUCCUCUUUGCUACAUUAUUAGCUUUCAGUUCAAGUUACAUGUUCUUUCAAUAAGAGUCCAAGAUCCAAAAUAUUGGAUAACCCACCAUUUCAUUUUGGAACUGAUUGGAGGGAGCCAAGAUCAGCUUGAAACUGAAGUAUUAAACUCAGAAUUCAGAUUUUCUGUUUUUGUUUUUUGUUUUGUUUCUUUAAACGCAGGAAAAAAAUAAACCCCACUCACGAAACUAUUCAGAUAAUAUGGCUUAUCUUAAGCAAACUUGCAUGUUUUGUUGAUGUACGUGAACUAGACAGUGCAUGCAGGAAAUGUAGGGAUAGACAAAUAUCUCAAUGUUGCUUAUAUGUUUUUCAUUUUUCCAUUCUUAAAUUCAGUUGUCCACAUUUCCACACCAGUUUUCAAAUUCUUUUCUUUUUUAAGUCCUCAUGAAAAUUCACUACCAUUUUAGCACUGAUUUCUCCUUAUAGACACAUUUUUCUAUGCAAUUUUACCUAAUGCACACAAUUUUGCAAAGCAUUUUUGCCUAAUAUAAGGCAUUUUUGUAUGUUCAUUUCAUAAAUAUAUGACUUUAAAUGCACACUUUGCCCCAUUAGGUGCAUUUUUGUAUGUAUUACUUGGGUGGAGAACUGCAUUGCAAAAUUCAGAGAUGUGAGACUGUUGAAGGAUAGCUGUGUUUUGGCUUGUGCAUUGCUUCAGAAAGUGCAAAAUAGGUUGCUUAUCCUUUAAAUGUGAAUUGAUUCGAAUUUCUUUCCUAAAGAAAUCACAAUCUUCCCUCCAAGUUUUCAUAAAUUAAGUGCAGCACAUGCUCACUGUAAAUUGAUAAGAUAAUUAGCGGUCAAUAAAUGUGUCCAUGUGCACACACACAUAUAUAUACAUAGUCUGCCUUGACAUUGCCUUUGAUGUGUAGCGAUGUCAAUUGUUUUAGUUUUAGGCAGAGAUCAUGCGAGCUUUUAUCCAACAUGGUCAUGGAGCUGCUCAAGGAAAACUGCAUAUGAAACAAACCCGAAGAAGGGACUUACAAAUUUGCAAGUCUAGCUAAGAAUAAAGAUAUACCCUUCUAACCUGGUGUUUGGUAAGGUGCUUUGAUUUAAAACUUGGCACCCCAAAACUUGACAGCCAAUCUUAACACGUUUCCCCCUUAAUAUAUAAGUUUGUUGAAUUUAUUUAUUUAUUUACUUACGGCGUCUGCCUCUCUAAUAAAAAGAAAAUUCCAUAUUUACCCCAGACAAAUUAAUAAUCCCCACUCUGGCAAAACAUUUGUUUGCCGAUCUAUUGCUAUUAUUUGUCGAGUGUGAUACUGAAAAUGCUGGACCACAAAGUAUGACCUAUUGUUUAGAUGUUAAACCAGGCUGUAAAAAGCAAUUUAAAUGUUCUUGCUAGGAUGAUUAAAUAUGACUGCAUAAAAGUGUUCAAACAGUACAAGAGGCGAAGCAGCUUUAGCAUUCUGGGACAUGCAGAUAAAGCAACGUACUUGUUAACCCUAAACACAUUUUUGCAGGACCAAACUGCCUGUGACAUUAUUCACACGUGUAACAUCAAAGCAUUUUAUUUUUGGAGAAAAAAUAGCUGCGAGGUCUCCCCAGUCUGGAAUGUGUUCCGGCUCUGGAUUGGAGGACUAUGCUGGUUUUCUUCAGAAAAUUCCUCUCUUUCCUGGCUGCCUCCCUGCAAGUACAAAAAUAGGCCAAGUAGAGGGAAAUUCUCUUCAAAAAAACUAAAGUAAGACCCCACUCUUGACCAGGAGCUCAUUCUGGAUCAGGUUGAGCAUGCCUGUAAAUACACAGAUGUGUUCCAUAUAGAUUCCAAUAUAAUAUUUACCGUCUAAUUUUAUUUCAGUUAGGUGAGUUUGGAAGGACAUAAGGGCCCUUCUGGGUUAGACCAAAAUUCCUGCAUCCAGGGGCAGAUACCCAGGCACCAGUGGGAAGUUCAAAAGGCAGUACAACCUCCAGUUUGCCCCUGGCAUCAGUUAUUCAGAAGCAUCCUACCUUUGGGGGCUAUUAUUGGGGUGGGUCUAGGAGACAUGAGCCCUUCAUCUUUUUCUGAGUGCCCCAGACUUUCCUGAAUUCAGAAGAAACUUAACCCAGAUGUUGAUUUGGAUUACUGGGAAGGAGAUUGAAAAUGACUUUCUGUAGAGAUUAUUUGGAGGGUAACUGCAGGGGAAUUGAUUUGGAGCAGAAUAUACUAAGGACUAAAUGAAUUAAAAUGUAUUUUAAUACUUUGUUGGAAUCUGCCCAGAGUGGCUGGGGAAACCCAGCCAGAUGGGCGGGGUAUAAAUAAAUAAAUAAAUAUUUAUAUAAAUGGGAUGUAUUUGGAAUAAUCCUGGGUGAAGCAUGAAUCAAAUGAAGAGUUGAUCUGAAGAGUGAUUUGAAUGGGACAUUAGUUAACAACAAUAACAAUUUAUUACCAGACCUUCAGCCUAAGGGUCCAGGGUGGGUUACAACAAUUAAAACACAAUGUUAAAAAAAGAUUUGUUUUCUAUGACACUUAGGGUGGUGUCCAAUUACGUUUUACUCAGAGUAAACCCACUGAAAUGAAUGGACUUUAGUUAUGUUUAUUCAUGGAGUUGGACUAGAUGGUCCCUCAAGGUCCCUUCCAACUCUGUGAUUCUAUUCAUUUCAAUGGCUGUACUCUGAGUAGGACUAACAUUGGGUACAAACCUUACAUUCUAAAAUGGGGUGCACCCACCCACUUGUAAAUGUUAAGGACAUUUGUGUCUAUGGGCCUAUGCCACGAACCUUUUAAGUACCUUGCUACACCUCUGGCUGCCUUUGAACACAUUUGCUGUUAUGUCAAAUAGGCUUGUUCUCUGAGAUUGUGUCUAGUUCUUUCUGCUGAAGGGCAUCUAAGCUAGUGGCAGAGCAUGACAGGAGUGAUCAGAGGGUAUUUUUCACAUACAGCUUGUGUUCUUUAUGCAGGCUAGUAGGGCUGGACAAAUGGUCAAUUUCAGAUACAGAAUCUUAGACUCAUAGAACUGGAAGGGAUUCUGAGGGUCAUCUAGUUAACUCCUGAUCUCAACAUGUGGGACCCCAUCCAAUUUGAAACCAAACCAGACCUUGCUUAGCUUUGUAAAUUUGCUAGCAGUUUUAUUGCUGCAUCAUUAGUUUCCUCUUGGUUUCUUAUAAUUAUCUUGAUAACAACCAGCCCUGCCAGUCCCCAUCACUUUUCUGAUGGUAUUUGCAUUUUUUAAAAAAUAAAAAAGCUUUCAUAUUAAAUGCAAAUAAGCUUUAAUGUCAGGCCUUCAGCUGCAAAGUCAUUCAUCUAUCUGGACAGGAGGGAGAAAAAUAAUACAAACAUAUACUCUCCAGAAUUUGCAGAUAAAAAUCAGAAUGUGCUUGUAAUACAGCAAUUAUGCUAUUCUCAUUCUAAGGGUUAGGGUUAGAGCUUUGCUCAUUAUAUAUUAUACAUCACUGAUGACACUCUUCCAUCUGCUGUAGUCUUCUCUCCUGCAAUAGCUUCUGCAGCACUUAAAAAAUAAAAUAAAGAAAGGCCUUUAUUAUAAAGUAUGCCAGAAAAACACGAAUGGUCUUACAAUCUGCUAUGAAUGGUUCACAAGGAGCUUCCAAAGUGUGUGAAAUGGCAAGCAGUUUUCUACAUGACUGUUUAAGGUUCCUGUGUGCAUUUUGACAUCUUUGUGCCUUACAGGCAAGAGGCAUCCACCAUUACCUUAAAUUCAGAUUUUAACUUAUUUAUUAACAAGAGUAUUUAUAAACCACCAACUCGUUAAAAAAAAGGAAAAAAGUAAAUAAGAUCACUGAAACACCAUCAAAUUAUACAAUCCUAAAACACAGAAUGAAUAACCAACAGUGAAUCAAAUCAAUGAUUGGAAAAUGCUUGCCAAAACAAACGUUUUCAGCAAGUGAUGAAAUAUCAGAGUUGUAGGUGCCUGUCUGAUUUCAAUUGGACCAGUGUCUUGAAAUAGUGGUGCCUCUAUGCUAAAAGCCUUAGUUCUUGUAGAAACUAAAUGAAUAUGAGAUAACUGUGGAAACGUCAGGAGGGCUUCUCCAUAUAAUCACAGUGAUUUGGCUGAUGGACAAGAAACAAGGCAUGCUUUCAGGUAACCUGGUUCUAGACCAUUUAGGGCUUUAUACACAAGGAGUAAUACCUUCAGUUUAGCUUGGUAGUGUAGUGGUGGCCAGUGCAUAGCUUUCAGUGCUGGUGUAAUAUUCUACAACUACCUAAGAUUUCCAAACCAACCACAAGGGUAGCCCCACAUACAGCAUAUUAGAGUAGUCUAGCCUAGGGGUUACCAAGGUCUGGACCUAUACACGGUGCUUUUUUUUCUUAAAAAAUGUUUAGGGAUACUCUCAUUUUCCUACUCAUAUUAAAAUACUGCCCCUCAAUGAGGUCAAACUUAGAUUCACAAAAUGUUUAGGGGUAGGCAUCCCCCCAGAAAAAAAAGUACUGGCUAAACAGCUAUACACCUGUAUAAGGAACUGAAGAUCAAGUAAUGUCAAAUCUAGCAAUCUGAACAACACCAUUUGAAAUUAUUAUUUCAUUAUUUCUUAAUAUACUCAUCACAAUCAAAAUUGAUCAACACAUUAAAAUAAGCCUGUAGCUGUAGUAGUUAAUAAACUAAGCGACUUUCAUUUCAUUAAGAAAUUGACAAUAAUAUUCAGCAAAAUCACCCAAGUGCAAAAGAAAUACAACAAUCACAAAUCAACUGGCCAAUUAGCCAAUUGAACUGACUUCAGAUAGAAUGUAUAAGUGACUCUCUUUGUAAUUAUGCUUUGAAAAAGUUGCUUUUCAUUUGCUUUUAUAUCAAAUUGCUAAAACAAUUGAUUGUACAUACCCUCGCAUUACAUCACAACAACCCAGCUAUUCAAACCAGGACUCAUAUUGAUUCCCCAUUGUUGAAGAAACCUGUCUUUCUUUGGGGAAGUACUGUAACUGAGUGGCUGUGGUCUUCCUUGAGCAGAGUCUACAAUCAGGAUAAAAAUCAGAGCAACGACCCUUUUCUGAUACACAGGAAACUGCCUUAUACUGAUUGAGGUUAUUUGCCCAUCUAGUCCGGACUUGGCAGCAAAGUGAUCUCAGUAGCAAAGUGGCAGAGUAUGUGCUUUGCAUGCAGAAGGUUCAAUCCCUGGCACCUCCAGGUAGAGCUGGGAAUGUCCUCUGUUGGAAGCCUGGCAAGCUGCUGCCAGUCCAUGUAGACAGUCCUGAGCUGGAUGGACCAAUGGUCUUGACCCAGUGAAAGGCAACUUCCUGUGUUACUAUGAAUCCUGCAAGAGAGUCCAUAUAGUGUGAUUUAGUUGAACUAAGACCUGGGUUGAGCCAUGGAGCUCACAGAGUGACUUUGAGCAUCUCAGCCUAAUGAAUGGUACAUGGUCAUUGCUAGGAUAAAAUGGGGAACCCCAUAUGCCACCUUGAGCUCAUUGGGGGGAAAGUGGGAUAGACAUGUUACAAUGUAUGCAAAUGGAAUGAUUGUCCAAAUUGAGACAAUGCAACGGCUGUCAGCAGCAUGAAUGCCAUGUUCUGGAUGUGCUGAAGACUUGGAUUUAUUAAGUGAUAAGUUCCAGAAAAUAAAAUUGUUGUUGCUGAAUAGGGACCAUUGGGGUGUAUGAUGACUCAAAGGAAUUUAAUGACUAUCCAACCGUGUGAAAAAGACACACUAGAACAAGCUUGCAAAUUGCUUCUCAUCUGGUCACCUGUUGGUUGAGCAAGAGGUUUAGAGCCAGAAAUUUCUAUGGACUUUUUUACAUGCUUUGAGAUAUGGCAUCUAAACCUUUCCAAAAUGGAAGGAAUAAGCCUAUCUCCUUUUACCUCAAGGGUGGGGAUCCUUCGGCCUUCCAUAUUUGUGGGACUCCAGCUCCCAUCAGCCCCAGGCAGCAUGGCAAAUGGUCAGGGAUGAUGGGCAUUGUAGUCCAACAAUGUCUAGAGGGCCAUGGGUUCCAGACUUUUCUUGCUGCCAUGGAUGGUAAAUGUUUGCUGGACAGGAAAUUAAAACGGUGAUGCAGGCAAAUCUCAUUCUCUUUCUGAGAGUCGAAAAGGAAGAAGACUGUUUUUGUUAUUAAUGAAAGAUGUUAACCAAAAGCAUUAAGCAAGUUCUUCUGCAAUCCUUAUAACUUCCUCCGAUCUAAAAUAUGUAGUUUGGGGAUUUGACUAAUACAGCCAAUCAAUUAGCUUGCAUUUUUAAAAGCCAGCAGACGACACCCCCCCUCCUCCAUUUGACCAGGAGGCCUUGGAAUGUCAACAGUUACGAAUGUGGAAGUUAAACGGUGUCCACAAAUAUAUUGUAAAACUGUGUAAACCAAAUGCAGCAAUAUUUUCCAAAUGAACACCUGGAAGGUGUAAAUCAAAAAUAUUGUAAACAUUUCAGAGGGGAACACAUGACAGAAACACUGGCGUGCUGUACGAUGUGGCCAAUCGUGGUAUGGAGGCCUAAAUCGAUAAAUCAGACUAUGAACCUUACACUAAUAAACACCUUCCCAAAGAGAAAGAGAGCUUCUCUACCCUCAGAACUUAAACUUGUUCUCUACUAUGGCAGACAAAGUUUAUGUGGGUAUCAUUUAAGCAACAUGUUAGAAUCCGAUUCUGAUUAAAUCUAAAAAUAGAUAAGCACAAUCCCUUUAAAAGAAUUCAUAAGAUUAUUUUCAAAAUAAUAGAUACUUUCUUUUAUAUUUUACACGAUUAACUAUUUAUUUCAGUCAUUUGCUCUGUUUCUAGGUGACUUAAAAACAGAAUACAAAUACAGAGUUAAAAACAUAGCCAUAUAUUGAUUUAUAUAGCUUAGUAACAUUGUAUAAAUGUAACAUCUUUAUUUUUAACUGUGCAUUUUUGUAAUAUUUUGUUUAUAUUGUCUGUUGUUGCUUCAGUUUUUUGUUGACAGCUAGGAGAUUUUUAAAUAAAUUAAGUGGUAUAGAAAUUUAAUAAUCAUCAAUCAAUCCCUAACACAGGGAAGCGAAUCUAUGGCCCUCCAGUUUUUUCUAAACCACAACUCCCAUCAUCCCUCACCAUUGGUCAUGAUGGUUAGGAAUGAUUGGUGUGGUAGUCCAACAACAUCUGGAGGGCCACAGGUUCCCAAUCUCUGGUAACGAAACCACAAUCUCAUGAAUUGUAUCAACAACAACAGCAGUGAAAACAUCAAUAUGGCCAUGUUAACCCAUCACUAUCCACCCAAUGCCUGGGAAAAGGGGAAGGCCUUAACAUGGAGCUGAAAAUAUGUGAAAGUCACUUCCUGGCAGGCCUUCCUAGGGACAGCAUUUCAUAGCUAGGGGAGCCACAACCAAAAAGGCCCUCUCACCUUGCUUUACAUAGCACUCCUCUUAACCUAUAACUAUGCUUGUAACUUAAAGUUUUCUGUUGUAUAAACUGGGUUCAUGUUAUCAGAUCCAAAUGAUUUAAAAUCAGCUGGCAUUUGAUGCAAGAAAAAUACAGCAUAAUAUUAAAGCCAUUGGACAACCCCAGGUGGUAGUUUGUUUUUCUGCAUUUUAUCUUGUCAAGAUUAAGCUAUACUAUGGGCAUUGAAUGUUAAAUAUUUCCUUUUUAAAAUACCUAGACUGCCAGUGAAGGUUAGUGGCAAUUUAAUAUAAUUUGAGAUGUGGUAUUUUUUGUUCCCCAAGUUCAUUAGGAUAAUAAAUAUGGAUCUGGAUUUAACAAGCCUUCAAGCUUAGGCCUGCCUGAAAGAUAAGGUGGUGUUUUGUUAACAGUGAGGAACAUUUUUAUUUCUCAAAUAAGCAGCACUUUUAAGAUGUUGAAAAAGUGUAGAAUGGGGCAACCAGGGUGAGCAGGGCAUCAGAUCACUUUCCUUAUGUGUUUGGGUUUUCUUUUGUUUGUUUGUUUGUGGGAAAGAGAUGAAUAAGAUGGGGCAUAGAGGUGUAUAAACCUAUGUGAGGUGAGAAAAUUGAAAUAAAGAAAAAAUGGCCCCUUUCUCAUCAGGCUUGAACUCUGAGUCAUCCAAAGAAAUUGAUGGGCAGAAGAGCCAGAACUGACAGAUUAAAGUAUUUCAUUACGCAAGGCAUAGUUAACUUGUGGAAUUUGCUGCCAUAUACAGUAUAUGUAAUUGUCCUGAUAGCUUUAAAAGGGAGUUAGACAUAUUCAGGGAGAAGAAGGGAACUAUCAGUGCCUAUUGAUCACAAUGGCCAUAUGAAUUCUCCACAUUCAGCAGCAAUACACUAUUGAAUACCAGCUGAGGAGAAGUUGUUGUUGUUGUUGUUGUUGUUGUUUGAAAUAUAACUAUUUUAGCCUACAGCAAGAAAACCAAUAAAGAAUUGUGCAUCGUAUAACAAAUUACAAUUAUUAUUAAUGAUAAUAUUAAUUACAAAUAUAUAAAAGAUACACAUAAAUAAUUCUGUAAAUUAUUACUAAAUCCUCUUUAAAAGACCAAUGAACUUCAGAAAAUAGACAUAAAAAGAUAUUUCUCUUUCUAAUAUUCAAGUUGUGGGUCCUGUUUUUGGCUUGUACAGCCCUGAAUGCUGCAACUAUGUGCGUGUGUUGUAAAUGUUGCAACCCAGAAAAGAUGUGAACUUCCUGCUUAAUGACAAACAACAAUACAAGCAAAUGAAAAUAAGUUGGUCCUUGCGUGACACACAGAACGAAGGAUGGAUACAAUUAGUCAUGUUUCUCGAAAGUAACAUCUCAGCAAUCGCCCACACUUCCUUGCAAAAUUAUCCCUCCCCACAACCCCCCUCCAAGAGUGGAUGCCAGAUGGAACAACAAUCCAUUCAAUGGAAGUUGUGCCAGCCCACAAAUGUCUGAAAAUCCAUGCAGGAAAAUCCAGAAUGUAGUCUAGAAGUUCUUCAGGAGUAUCAGACGAGAGAAAUCACAUAUGUGGCACUGUUAAGCAAUAGGCUACUCAUUCAAAUCUAAAACCUUAAUUUCAAUAUUUUAGUGGCUUUCUAAAAAAAAACAACAACCUGUCCUCCUUCCAAGAAACUCAAGGUAGCAUAUAUAGUUUGGUCCCUUAUUCACACAACAGCCCUGUGAGGUAGGUUAGCCUGAGAAAUGGGGCUUGAACUUGGAGGAGUCCCAGUGAAUUGUAACUGAUUGGGGAUCUGAACCAAGGUCAUCCCAUCAUUGGACCCUUCAAGAUAUCAUCUAUCUAUUGGUUUAAAAGGGAGGCAUAAAAAGUAUGUAACAAAAACAAUGGAGAGGAAACAUUUCAUCAAUUACAAUACCAAUCAAUAAAAUCCUGCAGAAUACAUUAAGUAACAUUAGUUUUUGCUCCCAAGAUUAUCCCAGAAUUAUCAACCUCAGUUGAACAAGCGUAGAUAGAGAUGUAAAAUCAUUUUCCUCUCUAGAAACAUAGAAGAUAAAAGUAUACCAUAUGUCUUGAAAUUAAUCAGAUCCAGAAACUUUUUGCAAUGCUUUAAUUUUUUGUGUCAACUUCUCUGUCAACGCUGUAUUCUAAAAUUUAUCAUCCCAUUUCUGGAAGAGGUUAAGAAAGGGAGAUUUCCCAUUUCUUGCCAUGACAAGUCUUGGAACAACAAGAAGAAAUGUUGUAAGUUCUUUAUGCAAUACAUUUUAGGUUGUUCACAAAAAAUAAGUAAAAGGUCCAUCAAAGUCAUUUUGAUCUUGCAUUCCUGAUGAUUUGGGCACAGGAUGCAAUGAGGUGGUCAUACGUAAUCUCACUUGUAAUACUAUUUGCACCUGCAAAAGUUUCAGGGUAGACAUACAGCUUUGUUUCCAAUCAGUGCAUAUCCUGUCACCUCCUGCUGAAAUCUAGUAACUUUUCAUACCACAAAUGUUGUUGGGUUUGUUUGUUGUCUUGCUUUUGUUGCACUGUAGUAUCUCUGGAUAGCGAUAAUGUGGUAUUACAUUGAGGAAGCAUUGUUGGACAACUAAUAAAGCAGUAUGAAUCCAUCACAAAUGUCAAGAACAUGUUUCAUAAUACACCUGCAAUAAAACACCAGUUUGGAAGGGCACCUAGUCCAACACAAAAGGGUCCAUGUAUAGCUGUGGGAAAGUGGAGGAGGAAGUUGUGAAUCACCAAAACUCAUUGAAAGCAAUAGAAUCCUAGACUCAGUCAAUUUCAGUGCUCUCAGUUUAUUCCCCCCCAACCUUAAUUAAUUAAUUACAUAAAAAUUUUACACUGCUUGAUUGUAAAAAUACUCAAAGCAGUUUACAAAAAAGAUAGAACAAGAAAGUCAAGAAAAAUCCAUAACCAUUCUUUAAAACAUACAAAAGUUAAGAUACUAAAACAGAUUACCUCAACUUUUUAAGCAUCUGAGUAGGCUUGUCUGAACAAGAUUGCUUUAAAGCAGGCACUGAAAAUUUCAGUUCUCUAUGUUUCUGCAGCAAUUUGCGUUCUAUUGAAAUAUUCUCAUGAAAAUUCACCUUCAUUUUAGUGCAGAUUACAAAAUUUGAGUAAGUGAGAAUUCUGAAGGACGGCUAUGUUUAGUUCUCACAGAUUUGUCUUUAAUUGUGAACUGACUCAAAAUCCUCCCCCAUCCCUACUCGUUGCAUUCUCCUGUGCAACAAAUGUCCCCCUAGUGCAAAACAUUACACCAGUGGAACAGGCAUGCCCCUAAGUCACUUUACUUAGAGUUACACUGGAUUCAACCCACUAAUAGUAACUAGGAAGGGCUGUCUCCAUUGCCCCCUGAGCCUUAUUCUAGGGCAUGGGUAGGCAAACUAAGGCCCAGGGGCUGGAUCCAGCCCAAUCGCCUUCUAAGUCAGGCCUGUGGAUAGUCCAGGAAUCAGCGUGUUUUUACAUGAGUUGAAUGUGUCCUUUUAUUUAAAAUGCAUCUCUGGGUUAUUUGUGGGGCACAGGAAUUCAUUCAUUUCCCCCCUUCAAAAUAUAGUCUGCCCCCCCAAGGUCUGAGGGACAGUGGACCGGCCCCCUGCUGAAAAAGUUUGCUGACCCCUAUUCUAGGGAUUGCGUGCAAUUUUCAAUUUCUGUGUCAGACUUCUUGAGGAUGAUGUUUCUCAAAUUACUAAUUCCUCUAAUUGUACAUCUGAGUGAAAGACAGUCAUUGCUUUCCUGAGAAAUUACAUUCUUAAUACCAUUACUGAAAACAUUGCGGUAAACUAACUCAUAUCCGCUUCCAGUGAUGCAGUUUUACACUAUAACGUAAAUCAGGAUGAAGAUGGACCGAAAAGUGUUUGCCUCUGUCUUGUUUAUCUGAUGAGAGUCGCUUGUUCCACGCAUUUGGGAAAGGAGGGGAAGCUCUUGCAAGACAGAAGGAGGAGUGCUGGGUGUUAAAUGUAGCUUUUGCCAGGGCCUUCAGUUUUGGAUCUGGGUUUGUUUGCUUGCUUCCUGUAAAUCCCUCCCAAAGAGCAGAAGUGACUGAAUAAAUGUUGAGAAUAUAGUACUGAAAGAGUAUGCUCUUAAAAAUAGUCUUCCGGAAAGACUUUGGUCCUUUCCACACAUGAGAUUAAAAGUGCCUUUCUGCCUCUCUCUAGGGUGACCACACACAUCACUGAUGAAAAGAAGGAAAGUCUUCCCCCAGAAGAAGACAAAAGGGGAGGCCAAUUUGCCUGGAAUUUGCAUAUGUUAAUUUAUAGGCCUAGAUGGCCAUUACUACGAUUCAAACAGAAAUAGAAUACAUCUCAUCAUUGUGGUAAAGAUUGUGACCAGGUGCUUGAUGUUCGGCUUAGCUUGAUGCCCCUGUGCUACUUCAAGGCUCUCCCUUCUUAUGGUGCUUUGUCUUUCAACUGGACUUGGGCCAGACACCCCUCCAAAUAGAGGGCUCCUUCAUAUAAAGGACUGUCCUCUGUCAAGCAGGACUCAUGGCCAGCCUACCUGUCUCAUGCACCUUCAUUUGUGUAUAUCCUCUGUGGAUGUAAUGUGGGAGAAGUAGCAGAGGCUUCCAAAAUUCUCUACUUCCAAAUCUCUCCCUGUGUUUUGGAGCUUGGAAAUUCCUGCGUGUGAAGGAAUUGGACUGUUUAAAAAGAAAUCAAAAUCUUGUACUGUAUAUAGUUUGGUUUGGGGAUUAUAGGGUUAAUCUGCUUCUGAGAGACAACCUAGCUGGCAGGUAAAGUCAGGAGGUGUUAAAAAAUAAUGAAGUGAAGUGUGGAAUAUGGACAAGUUGGGUUUGCAGAGGGGAUUAAGGUAAAAGUGUAUUACUUUGAUGCUUGGGUUGUUUGUGGAUUGUGACAUAGCAAAGAACAGUGGCUCAAAGAUAUAGAUAAGGGGCAACUUACAGAGACAAGUGAUGGGAGGGUCUCAGAAGGAACUGAAGAGCACAAGCAGGCGCUGGAGGCUAGAGGGAGAGAGAGCUUCUAACUGCCGUACCAUCCUAAGAGCUCUAAUUGAAAGAAAUUUGCUUAACAGAAUUUUAGCCACUAGGAAACAGUUUGGAUAAGACUAACUGGAUGCAUUUAUCCUGAUUUAUUUCCAUUACCC
RNAcentral lists this long non-coding RNA (12840 nucleotides) under Podarcis lilfordi (Lilford's wall lizard). The record is from RNAcentral. Lineage: Eukaryota; Metazoa; Chordata; Lepidosauria; Squamata; Lacertidae.